AUCCUCAGAUGAGGAUUUUAAAAAUGCUUUAAAAAAAGAUUAUCAUGACCCCUGCGCAAGAAUGACACACAAAUUCAUGGAAUGUUCCAUAUUUUC
Small nuclear RNA from Myotis lucifugus (little brown bat), 96 nucleotides. The record is from Ensembl. Lineage: Eukaryota; Metazoa; Chordata; Mammalia; Chiroptera; Vespertilionidae.